This is a non-coding RNA of Lolium perenne, 415 nucleotides long. NCBI's taxonomy places the organism in Eukaryota, Viridiplantae, Streptophyta, Magnoliopsida, Poales, Poaceae. The record is from RefSeq and is a predicted model, not a curated record.
GCCGGCAUCCUCGAGGCGCGACCGCCCUUCUACGAGCCAGAGUCGACUCAAGUGGUGCGCGCAAGGAAAUUUAUUUCUGGGUGUGCUGAGCUGUUAGGCCUAAGUCGAAAUCCUCAGCUAAACAAGGCCUCAGCUUAACACAUAAAAAGGUGUUCAAUCUCGCCCACAAUGUCCUCUUCUUUCCUCUUCCUUUAUUGGAACUUGUUUUGCAGACAAGGAAAGUGGCACGUGUAAUGUGAGUAAAACCCUCUUAGCCAAAAUCAGCUACGAGCAAGAUUUUAUGUAUUGUAGAUUCCCCAAUUGACUCUCAUCCCCAAUGUAGUCUUUUUUAUGUCAGUAUAGACUUCUUUACUGGAUGUAUACUAUCGUACAUGGCAUGCAUUUGCCUAAUGAGGAGCAUUGUAUUGCCAUUCUA